GUUGGAUUCGCAGGAAAAAGGCUGAUAGGAUGAACCUCUUGGUCUCCAGAAGAUAUCGUUAGGGAGCAGAGUUAUAGGAGCCUUCACUUUCUGCUUUGUGGUUUUGUGGUAUUUGAAUAUUUUCCCACAGCAUAUCCUAUUUAAUAAUUUAAAACGAUGUUCUGCAUAUCAAUGCCUUCCUGUCUAAUAUAGUACUCUAAUCAGGUUAACAAUUUUCUUUUCUUUCUUUCAGUACUGGAGAUGGAACCCAGGGCCUCAUGCAUACCAGGCAAACUGAGCUACCCUGGGUCCCCAGCCCCAGCUUAACAACAACAACAAAAAUAAUAAUAACUUCUUGGUACCAGGGAUUAAACCCAGGGGCACUUUACCAUUAAACCAUGUCCCAGCCCUUUUUGUUUUUUAGUUUGGAACAAGAUAUCACUAAGUUGCUUAGGGCCUCACUAAGUUGCUGAGGCUGGCUUUGAACUUUCGGUCCUCCUGCCUCAGCCUCCUGAGUUGCUGGGAUUACAGGCGUGGGCCACUGCACCUGGUUUGACAGAUUUUUAUCAAGUUUUUAUUUGCUCACUUUAUCACCCAACUUUCCUCAUUCCUAAGAUGAUGCAUUGACAAUAAUAUCUUUUUUUUAUUAGUGCAUUAUAACUAUACAUGAUAGUGGGAUUCAUAAGGCCCUAUUAGUACAUGCACAUGACAUACUUGAUCCGUCUCAUUCCCAGCACCCCCCUUUCUCUCCCCGUUGCCCUCUCCUGACCUGCACUACACUCUGCUGGUUUCCCUUCUUUCCCUGUGAUUUUAAUGGAUGCACUAUAGAGAGGGUUGUGCUGGCUCCUCAUGUGCAGGAAGAGCUUGGUUGGGCAGAUCCCCUUUACCAGGGCCUCCCCCCCUCUCCCUUCCUCUCUUCUGCUCUGUUGGCCUUCUUCAUGGAUCCACCCCUCCCCUCCUUUUUUUUGGCUAUAAUGACUUUUUAACAACUCUUAAACACCUUUAAGAGAGUCAUGGGAGCUUCUAAGGAUGGCCUUCAGGGGCAGUGGAGAGAGCACUGUAUUGGGAGUCCAGAGAAUUGGGCUUCGGUCUAGGCUCGGACCGGCCUGCUGGGCCCACUGGUUAGGAUUAUUCAGAAGCAGACAUAGUUAAUGAAGUCUCCUGGGUUAUGUGUUAGUUUGCUGUAACAAAAGGCCACACACGGGGUGGUUUGAACAACAGUAGUCCCUCAUGGCACAGCCGGGAGGACAGAGGUCUGAAGUUGAGGUGUCAUGGGUCCCUUCCUUCCAAGGCUGAGGGAGAAUUGUGCCAGGCCUCUCCCCUGCUCUAGGUGGUUUCCUUGCCAUCUGUGGCAUUCUUUGGCUUGUGGAGGUGACACUCU
Molecule: long non-coding RNA, 1360 nt
Filed under: Marmota monax (woodchuck)
Lineage: Eukaryota; Metazoa; Chordata; Mammalia; Rodentia; Sciuridae
Source: RNAcentral